UGUACCAGGUUGAAAUACGUGGCAGAAUCCACCCGAUAGGUUCAGGUAGGUUGUCUAUAUUAGGUUGAAAUACGUGACCGAAUCCACCCGAUAGUUUCAAGUAUGAACUCAGUACUGUGUUGAAAUACGUGGCCGAAUCCACCCCAUUGAUUCAGGAACGGCAACAGUACAAGGUUAAGGUAGGUCGUCUGUACCAGGUUGAAAUACGUGGCAGAAUUCACCCGAUAGGUUCAGGUAGGGCGUUGAGUUGAAAUGUUUCUGUACCUGGUAUUGUCAGUAUUUUACAGUGAUUCAUAAACAUGGUUAUUAUAUAGUUUGAAUCGUACGAAGUCAGUUUAUAUUUUGAGUUUAUGUCAUUCUUAUUACCAAUUAGCGUUUUCUAUGCUGACAUGACCCAAAACCAAUAUCUGAGUAGUUGUGUUUGUUGGUAUUCAUGGUGCAUAAGGGGGCGGUAGGGUAGCCUAGUAGUUAAAGUAUUCGCUUGUCAUGCAAAAGACCCGGGUUCGAUUCC
Haliotis rubra (blacklip abalone) is the source of this 511-nucleotide long non-coding RNA. RefSeq lists it as uncharacterized. Lineage: Eukaryota; Metazoa; Mollusca; Gastropoda; Lepetellida; Haliotidae. The transcript has 3 exons. The record is from RefSeq and is a predicted model, not a curated record.